AGAACGAACGUUGGCGGCGUGGAUGAGGCAUGCAAGUCGCGCGAGCGGCGGACGGGUGAGCAAUACGUACUAAGCUGCCCUCAGACGGGGAUAACCACGGGAAACCGUGGCUAAUACCCGAUGGGAUGCGAUUACGGCCUAUCAGCUAGUUGGUGGGGUAAUGGCCUACCAAGGCGACGACGGGUAGCCGGCCUGAGAGGGUGGUCGGCCACACUGGGACUGAGACACUGCCCAGACUCCUACGGGAGGCUGCAGUCGAGAAUCUUCCGCAAUGGGCGAAAGCCUGACGGAGCGACGCCGCGUGUAGGAUGAAGGCCCUCGGGUUGUAAACUACUGUCACGGGUUAUGACGUAAGCCCGAAAGGAAGCACCGGCUAACUCUGUGCCAGCAGCCGCGGUAAUACAGAGGGUGCAAACGUUGUUCGGAAUUACUGGGCAUAAAGCGCGCGUAGGCGGCGACGUAAGUGUAGGGUGAAAUCCCACGGCUCACCCGUGGAAUUGCCCCGCAUACUGCGUUGCUUGAGUGUGGUAGGGGAGAGCGGAACUCCUGGUGGAGCGGUGAAAUGCGUAGAUAUCAGGAGGAACACCGGUGGCGUAGGCGGCUCUCUGGUCCAUAACUGACGCUGAAGUGCGAAAGCUAGGGUAGCGAACGGGAUUAGAUACCCCGGUAGUCCUAGCCGUAAACGAUGGGUACUAACUUGAGCAGGUGAAGCAAAUGUGAUAAGUACCCCGCC
Molecule: ribosomal RNA, 733 nt
Filed under: uncultured Verrucomicrobiota bacterium
Lineage: Bacteria; Pseudomonadati; Verrucomicrobiota
Description: bacterial SSU rRNA
Rfam family: Bacterial small subunit ribosomal RNA
Source: RNAcentral